Molecule: unclassified non-coding RNA, 391 nt
Filed under: soil metagenome
Description: partial contains 5.8S ribosomal RNA, internal transcribed spacer 2, and large subunit ribosomal RNA
Rfam family: 5.8S ribosomal RNA (bases 1-122)
Source: RNAcentral
GAUGAAGAACGUAGCGAAAUGCGAUACUUGGUGUGAAUUGCAGAAUCCCGUGAACCAUCGAGUCUUUGAACGCAAGUUGCGCCCGAAGCCAUUAGGCCGAGGGCACGCCUGCCUGGGCGUCACACGUCGUUGCCCCCCCAUCUACUCCUUCGGGAUUGCGGGGGGCGGAUGAUGGCCUCCCGUGCGCCUCGUCGCGCGGUUGGCAUAAAUGCCAAGUCCUCGGCGACGCACGCCACGACAAUCGGUGGUUGCGAAACCUCGGUUGCCCGUCGUGUGCGGUCGUCGCGCAUCGAGGGCUCGAAAAAAUUGCCGGGCUCCGGCUCGGCUUUCAACGCGACCCCAGGUCAGGCGGGGUUACCCGCUGAAUUUAAGCAUAUCGAUAAGCGGAGGA